RNAcentral lists this long non-coding RNA (384 nucleotides) under Chelonoidis abingdonii (Abingdon island giant tortoise). RNAcentral describes it as "lncRNA (ENSCABG00000005683.1)". Lineage: Eukaryota; Metazoa; Chordata; Testudines; Testudinidae. The record is from RNAcentral.
AUCAUCUCUGAGGGAGCGAGUGCUGCAUCACGGACUGGGAAGCCUGGUCUCUGGGGGAGUGAGGCGCUAAUCCUGCCUGACAAACGGGAUGUGGUCUUUGGUCUUGUCCAGAACAGUAGACAACUGCUUCUUCUGGUAAUUUCUCUGGGAUGGUGUUUUUGUCAUUUGCUGUGUUUCAUCACUGAAGCUGCUGCUGAAUGUCUUGGUGGCCUCAUCGCAGACCUUGUGCAGCCAGACCAGGCUCAGAAUGUCUCGCUGUCUGAAGCAGCUCACGACUGAGAGUGCCAACCUCUCGGUAGACUGUCGAAAAGCAGGGCAGAAACUCCACACUGGUGGUAUGUUCUAUAAUUACAUUUCAACAACCCAGUAACAAAUGUGAGCCCC